This 467-nucleotide ribosomal RNA is filed under the name uncultured bacterium. Its description in RNAcentral is "bacterial SSU rRNA". It matches the Rfam family "Bacterial small subunit ribosomal RNA", at positions 29 to 508 of the family's 1533-position model. The record is from RNAcentral.
AACGAACGUUGGCGGUGUGCCUAAUACAUGCAAGUCGAGCGAGAAAACGGGGGCAACUCCGUGAGUACAGCGGCGGAAGGGUGCGUAAUACAUGGUUAACGUACCCCCCAGUUCGGGAUAACCCUCCGAAAGGUGGGCUAAUACCGGGUAAUGGCAGCGGGUGGCAUCAUUUGCUGCUUAAAGACGCAAGUCGCUGGGGGAGCGGACCAUGGCCUAUCAGCUAGUUGGCGGGGUAACGGCCCACCAAGGCAAUGACGGGUAGCCGGACUGAGAGGUUGAACGGCCACACGGGAACUGAGACACGGUCCCGACAUCUACGGAUGGCAGCAGUAGGGAAUCUUGCGCAAUGGGCGAAAGCCUGACGCAGCGACACCGCGUGGGGGAUGAAGGCCUUCGGGUUGUAAACCCCUUUCAUGAGGGAAGAACACUGACCUAACCUCAGGAAGAAGCACCGGCUAACUCCGUGC